This 253-nucleotide ribosomal RNA is filed under the name uncultured bacterium. Its description in RNAcentral is "partial 16S ribosomal RNA". It matches the Rfam family "Bacterial small subunit ribosomal RNA", at positions 524 to 776 of the family's 1533-position model. The record is from RNAcentral.
UACGUAUGGGGCAAGCGUUAUCCGGAUUUACUGGGUGUAAAGGGAGCGUAGGCGGUACGGCAAGUCAGAAGUGAAAGCCCGGGGCUCAACCCCGGAAUUGCUUUUGAAACUGUCGAACUAGAGUGUCGGAGGGGUAAGCGGAAUUCCUAGUGUAGCGGUGAAAUGCGUAGAUAUUAGGAGGAACACCGGUGGCGAAGGCGGCUUACUGGACGACCACUGACGCUGAGGCUCGAAAGCGUGGGGAGCAAACAGG